This 407-nucleotide ribosomal RNA is filed under the name uncultured Pseudoalteromonas sp. RNAcentral describes it as "bacterial SSU rRNA". It matches the Rfam family "Bacterial small subunit ribosomal RNA", at positions 509 to 916 of the family's 1533-position model. Lineage: Bacteria; Pseudomonadati; Pseudomonadota; Gammaproteobacteria; Alteromonadales; Pseudoalteromonadaceae. The record is from RNAcentral.
CAGCAGCCGCGGUAAUACGGAGGGUGCGAGCGUUAAUCGGAAUUACUGGGCGUAAAGCGUACGCAGGCGGUUUGUUAAGCGAGAUGUGAAAGCCCCGGGCUCAACCUGGGAACUGCAUUUCGAACUGGCAAACUAGAGUGUGAUAGAGGGUGGUAGAAUUUCAGGUGUAGCGGUGAAAUGCGUAGAGAUCUGAAGGAAUACCGAUGGCGAAGGCAGCCACCUGGGUCAACACUGACGCUCAUGUACGAAAGCGUGGGGAGCAAACGGGAUUAGAUACCCCGGUAGUCCACGCCGUAAACGAUGUCUACUAGAAGCUCGGAGCCUCGGUUCUGUUUUUCAAAGCUAACGCAUUAAGUAGACCGCCUGGGGAGUACGGCCGCAAGGUUAAAACUCAAAGGAAUUGACGG